RNAcentral lists this transfer RNA (78 nucleotides) under Oryza nivara. It matches the Rfam family "tRNA". From Rfam's summary of the family: Transfer RNA (tRNA) molecules are approximately 80 nucleotides in length. Lineage: Eukaryota; Viridiplantae; Streptophyta; Magnoliopsida; Poales; Poaceae. The record is from Rfam by way of RNAcentral.
AGCGGAGUAGAGCAGUUUGGUAUAUAGCUCACAAGGCUCAUAACCUUGAGGUUACGGGUUCGAUUCCAGUCUCCACAC